Cryptomeria japonica (Japanese cedar) is the source of this 723-nucleotide long non-coding RNA. RefSeq lists it as uncharacterized. The transcript has 3 exons. The record is from RefSeq and is a predicted model, not a curated record. NCBI's taxonomy places the organism in Eukaryota, Viridiplantae, Streptophyta, Pinopsida, Cupressales, Cupressaceae.
UUUAAUUUUUUAUUUUUUAUCUAAUGGUUUAUUGAAUGAUCAUUGACCUAGCUUUAUUUUUUUAUUUCAGGGGGCACCGUUUUCAUCAAGUCCAUUGAUGCCUCCGCCCAUUGCAAGAAUGCCACCUACCUAUGUGAGCAGAUAGAGGAGGUGAUUGAAGAUGUGGGUGAGGAGAACGUGGUACAGGUGGUGACCGACAAUGCAGCAAAUUAUGUUGCUGCGGGUAGACUAUUGAUGGAGAGGCACCCAUCUAUAGUUUGGACUCCAUGUGUUGCUCAUUGCAUUGACCUCAUGUUGGAGGAUAUUGGAAAAAUCCCAUGGGUCAAGAGAUGUGUAGAAAGGGCAAGAAAUGUCUGCAAAUUUGUAUAUAAUCAUUCAUGGGUGUUGGCUCUUAUGAGACAAUACACAGAGCAGAAGGAGUUGCAUCGUCCAGGAAUCACAAGAUUUGCCACAAACUUCCUCACAUUGUAGUCCAUGCUUAGGUCUAAGCCUACCUUGAGACGUAUGAUUGUUGGUGAGGAGUGGUCUUCCUCAUCCUAUGCUACCACCCCUGCAGGGAUAGAGAUGGCAGACUACAUUUUUGAUGAGCAAGGCUUUUGGGUCCCUUGUGAUGAGAUAGUGAAGUUUGUUAAGCCCUUGGUGGUUUUGUUGCGAGUUGCGGAUGGAGAUAAGCCCGCAAUGGGCUAUAUAUAUGAGGGCAUGGAUAGGGCGAAGGAGGCCAUC